RNAcentral lists this ribosomal RNA (253 nucleotides) under uncultured bacterium. RNAcentral's name for it is "partial 16S ribosomal RNA". It matches the Rfam family "Bacterial small subunit ribosomal RNA", at positions 524 to 776 of the family's 1533-position model. The record is from RNAcentral.
GACAGAGGUGCCAAGCGUUAGGCGGAAUCACUGGGCUUAAAGCGUGUGUAGGCGGAAUGGUAAGUACCUUGUGAAAUCCCACGGCUCAACCGUGGAACUGCUUGGUAUACUGCUUUUCUUGAGCCACUUAGGGGCAACCGGAACAAACGGUGGAGCGGUGAAAUGCGUAGAUAUCGUUUGGAACGCCAAUGGUGAAAACAGGUAGCUGGGGCUGUGCUGACGCUGAGACACGAAAGCCAGGGGAGCAAACGGG